RNAcentral lists this unclassified non-coding RNA (253 nucleotides) under uncultured Caryophanales bacterium. RNAcentral describes it as "uncultured Bacillales bacterium contains 16S-23S intergenic spacer region". It matches the Rfam family "Bacterial small subunit ribosomal RNA", at positions 524 to 776 of the family's 1533-position model. Lineage: Bacteria; Bacillati; Bacillota; Bacilli; Caryophanales. The record is from RNAcentral.
UAGCCGCACCCCGAGUGGUGACCAGUAUUAUUGGGCGUAAAGCGCGCGCAGGCGGUCUCUUAAGUCUGAUGUGAAAGCCCACGGCUCAACCGUGGAGGGUCAUUGGAAACUGGGGGACUUGAGUACAGAAGAGGAGAGUGGAAUUCCACGUGUAGCGGUGAAAUGCGUAGAGAUGUGGAGGAACACCAGUGGCGAAGGCGGCUCUCUGGUCUGUAACUGACGCUGAGGCGCGAAAGCGUGGGGAGCAAACAGG